This 1480-nucleotide long non-coding RNA is filed under the name Bos mutus (wild yak). RNAcentral describes it as "lncRNA (ENSBMUG00000026128.1)". Lineage: Eukaryota; Metazoa; Chordata; Mammalia; Artiodactyla; Bovidae. The record is from RNAcentral.
UCGCUCCCGCGGCGCCGCAGCGGCUUCUUCUCCUCCUCUUUCGCCUCCUCCUCUUCCUUCGCUUUUUCUCCUCCUCCUCCUCUUCCUCCUUCUCCUCCUCCAGUUCUCCCUCCUCCUCUUUCCCCACCUCCUCCCCCUCGGCCACCGCCUCCUCUCCACCACCAUCACUCCCUCCGGGGCACCCCGGUCUCUGCAGAGCCCCCGGUCGGCGCCGUCUCCUCUGUGGCCCCCUGGAUUCCCCAGCCUGCCGAGCCCGGGCUUGGGGGUACAGACGGACGCGCGGACACUACAGAUUCCUCGCGCCCAGCGCUUCCGCGCUGCUGCCCUCCGCAGCCCCGCGUCUGGGGAGCUGGAAUCGCCACGGGAGCCCUCGAGGUCUCGGAGCCUGGCUGCCUGGGGAGGCGUCUGAACACGCACAGGACUCCAGGGCUUCCAGAUGAAGGGUGGAUCACAGUGCCAACCAUGUGGAUCGCCCCCAGAUGGACUUCAGCACAUCUGGCCCAUCUGUAGUAUUUCCUUCACCCAGUUUCAGCUGCAGUCCUGCCCUUCUGGCAGCUUCUGGCCACCACGAGAGAAUCGGCAUCACCAUGUCCAGCUGAUGUCCUUCCAGAUCACGGCAAAGGAAUGUGAAGUAUCAGUCAGCCCAAGUGAUCUUUUCGGGAGCAUCUUCCUCAUGUCAUGAGACUCUUAGAAAUUGCAAAAGUGCUUAGGAGUCUACAGAAAAAUCUCAGCCAACCCUGUGGCUCUGAGAUCCCGGUCCUGUGCAUCCUUGCCCCUGCCAGGUUACCUGAAGAAUGGCAGGUCUUUAUCUGUCUCUUCUGACUGCAGUAGCUCACUGCAGACCACCCACGGACCAGGCUCCGCACUGAGACCAAUUAGGGCAGAAUAGUACAACUUCCAAGGUGUUCACUUGGUUCUGGCCCCAGAAACACAUAGAGUGGGCACACGAGCCUCUCUGUGACUGUGCAAAGCAAGUCCAGAUGGCACGAGAUGCCAAGAAAUCCUGGGGUUACCCCUUGGGGUGCCCCCUCCAGGGGCAGGCACAGCCCAGGCCUGGUACACUUCCGGAUGGCUGUCUGAAUGAGCCCAGAACCACCAGCCUGUAAAGAAAACACAGUGAAUUGCUGUUAGAUCAUGUCAACUUUAAUGUGCUCCCAUAGUAUUAAAAACACAUCUGCAAGGAAAUUUUUGACUCUUCAAAGGCUCCCUACAGGCAAAAAUUUCCCUUAAGCCUCAUUCAGGAGGAAGACAGAGAAGAAGACAUCAUGAAGUUUGAGCGAGAUAUUGGGACAAAUCUGAAGUCAACCAGAGAGAUGUGGGUGGAGAGACCAGGACCAGAGGCUCAUUACUCACACCAGGUUUCUGCCAGAGGAUACAGAUGGGGACCAUGUGCCCAAGGAGACUAUCCAGAAGUUAAGAGCAGGACGGCUCCAUACAGUUGGGCAGGUUGUGCAAGGCAGCAGGGCACCCUCCCCUCCCC